CAAACUGCGAUAAGUAGUGUGAAUUGCAUUUAGUGAAUCAUCGAAUCUUUGAACGCACCCUGCACUCACUGGUAUUCCGGUGAGUACGCCUGUUUCAGUAUCAUUGAAAACACACAAUCAAAACAUUUUCUUUGGUUUGAUUGGCUUUGGGUCUAUCAAAAAGUUUGGCUUGUUUCUUACAAGCCAAGCGGCCUGAAAUAUAUUGUCUGGCUAAUUGCAUCGUUGAUGAUCGCUAUUAGACUUUGGCUUUUUUAAAUGAACUGGAGGUUGAUUAACCAGUUUUAGCUUUAGUCAAAUGGUCAUUGUAAAAAAAAUCUCGAUCUUGGCUAGGUGUUUAUAGCCGAAAAUUUUUUUGGCUAUAACCGAAACCAAUAUAAUCACAUUUAGUUAUAGAUCUGAAAUCAGGUGGGACUACCCGCUGAACUUAAGC
This 430-nucleotide unclassified non-coding RNA is filed under the name plant metagenome. Its description in RNAcentral is "partial contains 5.8S ribosomal RNA, internal transcribed spacer 2, and large subunit ribosomal RNA". The stretch from base 1 to 103 matches the Rfam family "5.8S ribosomal RNA", at positions 49 to 154 of the family's 154-position model. The record is from RNAcentral.